CGUUCCCUACGGGAGGCAGCAGUGAGGAAUAUUGGUCAAUGGGAGAGAUCCUGAACCAGCCAAGCCGCGUGAGGGAAGACGGUCCUAUGGAUUGUAAACCUCUUUUGUCGGGGAGCAAAGAGGCCACGUGUGGUCAAAAGCGAGAGUACCCGAAGAAAAAGCAUCGGCUAACUCCGUGCCAGCAGCCGCGGUAAUACGGAGGAUGCGAGCGUUAUCCGGAUUUAUUGGGUUUAAAGGGUGCGUAGGCGGGACGGUAAGUCAGCGGUAAAAAUGCGGUGCUCAACGCCGUACAGCCGUUGAAACUG
RNAcentral lists this ribosomal RNA (305 nucleotides) under uncultured bacterium. Its description in RNAcentral is "bacterial SSU rRNA". It matches the Rfam family "Bacterial small subunit ribosomal RNA", at positions 333 to 635 of the family's 1533-position model. The record is from RNAcentral.